CCUACGGGAGGCAGCAGUGAGGAAUAUUGGUCAAUGGGCGAGAGCCUGAACCAGCCAAGUAGCGUGAAGGAUGACUGCCCUACGGGUUGUAAACUUCUUUUAUCAAGUAAUAAAGUGAGGCACGUGUGCCUUUUUGUAUGUACUUGAUGAAUAAGGAUCGGCUAACUCCGUGCCAGCAGCCGCGGUAAUACGGAGGAUCCGAGCGUUAUCCGGAUUUAUUGGGUUUAAAGGGAGCGUAGAUGGGUUGUUAAGUCUGUUGUGAAAUAUUACGGCUUAACCGUAGAAUUGCAAUGGAUACUGGGCGGCUAGAGUACAGGAGAGGUAGGCGGAAGUCGUGGUGUAGCGGGGAAAUGCGUAGAGAUCAGGAGGAACACC
Molecule: ribosomal RNA, 375 nt
Filed under: uncultured bacterium
Lineage: Bacteria
Description: partial 16S ribosomal RNA
Rfam family: Bacterial small subunit ribosomal RNA
Source: RNAcentral